GACGAACGCUGGCGGCGUGCUAAACACAUGCAAGUCGAGCGGAAAGGCUCCUUCGGGGGUACUCGAGCGGCGAACGGGUGAGUAACACGUGAGUAGUCUGCCCUUGGCUUCGGGAUAGCCACCGGAAACGGUGAUUAAUACCGGAUACGACAACUUCUCGCAUGGGAUGGUUGUGGAAAGUUUUUUCGGCCAGGGAUGUGCUCGCGGCCUAUCAGCUUGAUGGUGAGGUAAUGGCUCACCAUGGCUUCGACGGGUAGCCGGCCUGAGAGGGUGACCGGUCACACUGGGACUGAGACACGGCCCAGACUCCUACGGGAGGCAGCAGUGGGGAAUAUUGGACAAUGGGCGGAAGCCUGAUCCAGCAACGCCGCGUGAGGGAUGACGGCCUUCGGGUUGUAAACCUCUUUCGGUAGGGACGAAGCGCAAGUGACGGUACCUACUAAAGAAGCACCGGCCAACUACGUGCCAGCAGCCGCGGUAA
This 481-nucleotide ribosomal RNA is filed under the name uncultured bacterium. Its description in RNAcentral is "partial 16S ribosomal RNA". It matches the Rfam family "Bacterial small subunit ribosomal RNA", at positions 28 to 523 of the family's 1533-position model. The record is from RNAcentral.